This 253-nucleotide ribosomal RNA is filed under the name uncultured bacterium. Its description in RNAcentral is "partial 16S ribosomal RNA". It matches the Rfam family "Bacterial small subunit ribosomal RNA", at positions 524 to 776 of the family's 1533-position model. The record is from RNAcentral.
UACGGAGGGUGCAAACGUUGCUCGGAAUCAUUGGGCGUAAAGCGCACGUAGGCGGCGCGUUAAGUCGGGUGUGAAAGCCCUGGGCUCAACCCAGGAAGUGCAUUCGAAACUGGCGCGCUUGAAUAUGGAAGAGGGUCGCGGAAUUCCCGGUGUAGAGGUGAAAUUCGUAGAUAUCGGGAGGAACACCAGUGGCGAAGGCGGUUCUCUGGGCAUGUCCUGACGCUGAGGAGCGAAAGUGUGGGGAGCGAACAGG